This 1686-nucleotide ribosomal RNA is filed under the name Klebsiella pneumoniae subsp. pneumoniae. Its description in RNAcentral is "partial 23S ribosomal RNA". It matches the Rfam family "Bacterial large subunit ribosomal RNA", at positions 1260 to 2925 of the family's 2925-position model. The record is from RNAcentral. Lineage: Bacteria; Pseudomonadati; Pseudomonadota; Gammaproteobacteria; Enterobacterales; Enterobacteriaceae.
GCUGUGAGGCAUGCUGGAGGUAUCAGAAGUGCGAAUGCUGACAUAAGUAACGAUAAAGCGGGUGAAAAGCCCGCUCGCCGGAAGACCAAGGGUUCCUGUCCAACGUUAAUCGGGGCAGGGUGAGUCGACCCCUAAGGCGAGGCCGAAAGGCGUAGUCGAUGGGAAACAGGUUAAUAUUCCUGUACUUGGUGUUACUGCGAAGGGGGGACGGAGAAGGCUAUGUUAGCCGGGCGACGGUUGUCCCGGUUUAAGCAUGUAGGCUGGUUAUCCAGGCAAAUCCGGAUAAUCAAGGCUGAGGUGUGAUGACGAGGCACUACGGUGCUGAAGUAACAAAUGCCCUGCUUCCAGGAAAAGCCUCUAAGCAUCAGGUAACAUCAAAUCGUACCCCAAACCGACACAGGUGGUCAGGUAGAGAAUACCAAGGCGCUUGAGAGAACUCGGGUGAAGGAACUAGGCAAAAUGGUGCCGUAACUUCGGGAGAAGGCACGCUGGUGUGUAGGUGAAGCCCCUGCGGGUGGAGCUGAGACCAGUCGAAGAUACCAGCUGGCUGCAACUGUUUAUUAAAAACACAGCACUGUGCAAACACGAAAGUGGACGUAUACGGUGUGACGCCUGCCCGGUGCCGGAAGGUUAAUUGAUGGGGUUAUCCGUAAGGAGAAGCUCUUGAUCGAAGCCCCGGUAAACGGCGGCCGUAACUAUAACGGUCCUAAGGUAGCGAAAUUCCUUGUCGGGUAAGUUCCGACCUGCACGAAUGGCGUAAUGAUGGCCAGGCUGUCUCCACCCGAGACUCAGUGAAAUUGAACUCGCUGUGAAGAUGCAGUGUACCCGCGGCAAGACGGAAAGACCCCGUGAACCUUUACUAUAGCUUGACACUGAACAUUGAGCCUUGAUGUGUAGGAUAGGUGGGAGGCUUUGAAGCGUGGACGCCAGUCUGCGUGGAGCCAACCUUGAAAUACCACCCUUUAAUGUUUGAUGUUCUAACGUUGGCCCCUUAUCGGGGUUGCGGACAGUGUCUGGUGGGUAGUUUGACUGGGGCGGUCUCCUCCCAAAGCGUAACGGAGGAGCACGAAGGUUAGCUAAUCCUGGUCGGACAUCAGGAGGUUAGUGCAAUGGCAUAAGCUAGCUUGACUGCGAGCGUGACGGCGCGAGCAGGUGCGAAAGCAGGUCAUAGUGAUCCGGUGGUUCUGAAUGGAAGGGCCAUCGCUCAACGGAUAAAAGGUACUCCGGGGAUAACAGGCUGAUACCGCCCAAGAGUUCAUAUCGACGGCGGUGUUUGGCACCUCGAUGUCGGCUCAUCACAUCCUGGGGCUGAAGUAGGUCCCAAGGGUAUGGCUGUUCGCCAUUUAAAGUGGUACGCGAGCUGGGUUUAGAACGUCGUGAGACAGUUCGGUCCCUAUCUGCCGUGGGCGCUGGAGAAUUGAGGGGGGCUGCUCCUAGUACGAGAGGACCGGAGUGGACGCAUCACUGGUGUUCGGGUUGUCAUGCCAAUGGCACUGCCCGGUAGCUAAAUGCGGAAGAGAUAAGUGCUGAAAGCAUCUAAGCACGAAACUUGCCCCGAGAUGAGUUCUCCCUGAGACUUUAAGUCUCCUGAAGGAACGUUAAAGACGAUGACGUUGAUAGGCCGGGUGUGUAAGCGCAGCGAUGCGUUGAGCUAACCGGUACUAAUGAACCGUGAGGCUUAACCUU